GAUGAACGCUGGCGGCGUGCCUAAUACAUGCAAGUCGAGCGAACGGACGAGAAGCUUGCUUUUCUGAUGUUAGCGGCGGACGGGUGAGUAACACGUGGAUAACCUACCUAUAAUACUGGGAUCACUUCGGGAAACCGGAGCUAAUACCGGAUAAUAUUUUGAACCGCAUGGUUCAAAAGUAAAAGACGGUCUUGCUGUCACUUAUAGAUGGAUCCGGGCUGCAUUAGCUAGUUGGUAAGGUAACGGCUUACCAAGGCGACGAUGCAUAGCCGACCUGAGAGGGUGAUCGGCCACACUGGAGCGGAGACACGGUCCAGACUCCUACGGGAGGCAGCAGUAGGGAAUCUUCCGCAAUGGGCGAAAGCCUGACGGAGCAACGCCGCGUGAGUGAUGAAGGUCUUCGGAUCGUAAAACUCUGUUAUUAGGGAAGAACAUAUGUGUAAGUAACUGUGCACAUCUUGACGGUACCUAAUCAGAAAGCCACGGCUAACUACGUG
This 497-nucleotide ribosomal RNA is filed under the name uncultured bacterium. RNAcentral's name for it is "partial 16S ribosomal RNA". It matches the Rfam family "Bacterial small subunit ribosomal RNA", at positions 28 to 507 of the family's 1533-position model. The record is from RNAcentral.